UAAAAUCUUGAAUGAUUAGAAUAAAGGUUAAAGAAUAAAACCUAGAUGAGAAUUUGAGGAUUUAUUUAAAAAUUUUCAAGUAAAACCUAUAUGGUUUGCUAUUCGAAUAAGAAUAGAGGAAAUAUGGGUUACAAAAUUCCAAAACCCUAGAAAUGAAUUAAUAUGUACUUGAAGGAAUAUUAAGAAUAAGGUAUUACGAUACCUUUAAAUUCGAUGUGAACGGAAUAGUCUAAAAAAAAAUGUUAUAUAAGUACAUAUGGAAAUUUUAUUAUUGGAGAUAAGAUUUCACAUGAAGAGAUGCUAUGAGGUUAAACGAAGAUGAGUAUAUGUAUAGAAAUAUAUAUACUUAGUAAGGUGCUAUAUAUAUUUUAGCAAGAGGAAU
RNAcentral lists this long non-coding RNA (382 nucleotides) under Panax ginseng (ginseng). Its description in RNAcentral is "long non-coding RNA (PGIN_LNC005436)". The record is from RNAcentral. Lineage: Eukaryota; Viridiplantae; Streptophyta; Magnoliopsida; Apiales; Araliaceae.